UACAUGGGGUGCAACCGUUGCUCGGAAUCAUUGGGCGUAAAGCGCGCGUAGGCGGUUACUUAAGUCGAAUGUGAAAGCCCUCGGCUUAACCGAGGAAGUGCAUCCGAAACUGAGUAGCUAGAGUACGAAAGAGGGUCGCGGAAUUCCCGGUGUAGAGGUGAAAUUCGUAGAUAUUCGCAAGAACACCAGUGGCGAAGGCGGCUCACUGGCCCGAUACUGACGCUGAGGCACGAAAGCGUGGGGAGCAAACAGG
Molecule: ribosomal RNA, 253 nt
Filed under: uncultured bacterium
Lineage: Bacteria
Description: partial 16S ribosomal RNA
Rfam family: Bacterial small subunit ribosomal RNA
Source: RNAcentral